GCGCCCGUAGCUCAGGGGAUAGAGCAUUGGCCUCCGAAGCCAUGUGCGUAGGUUCGAUUCCUGCCGGGCGCACCA
Molecule: transfer RNA, 75 nt
Filed under: Pelosinus sp. UFO1
Lineage: Bacteria; Bacillati; Bacillota; Negativicutes; Selenomonadales; Sporomusaceae
Also listed under: 3 other names
Description: tRNA-Arg (CCG) (tRNA-Arg-CCG-1-1)
Rfam family: tRNA
About the family: Transfer RNA (tRNA) molecules are approximately 80 nucleotides in length. Their secondary structure includes four short double-helical elements and three loops (D, anti-codon, and T loops). Further hydrogen bonds mediate the characteristic L-shaped molecular structure. tRNAs have two regions of fundamental functional importance: the anti-codon, which is responsible for specific mRNA codon recognition, and the 3' end, to which the tRNAs corresponding amino acid is attached (by aminoacyl-tRNA synthetases). tRNAs cope with the degeneracy of the genetic code in two manners: having more than one tRNA (with a specific anti-codon) for a particular amino acid; and 'wobble' base-pairing, i.e. permitting non-standard base-pairing at the 3rd anti-codon position.
Source: RNAcentral